AGAGUUUGAUCCUGGCUCAGGAUAAACGCUGGCGGCGUGCCUAAUGCAUGCAAGUCGAACGGAUCAGAUUUCGGUCUGGUUAGUGGCAAACGGGUGAGUAACACGUGGGAAUCUACCUCGAUGUGGGGAACAACUCUCUGAAAGGAGAGCUAAUACCGCAUAAACUCGAAAGAGGAAAGCCUUCGGGCGCAUUGAGAGGAGCCUGCGGCUGAUUAGCUAGUUGGUGGGGUAAAGGCCUACCAAGGCAAUGAUCAGUAGCUGGUCUGAGAGGACAGACAGCCACACUGGGACUAAGAUACGGCCCAGACUCCUACGGGGGGCAGCAGUGAGGGAUCUUCGUCAAUGGGGGAAACCCUGAACGAGCAACGCCGCGUGUGGGAAGACGGCCUUCGGGUUGUAAACCACUUUUCUUGGGGACGAGACAGGACGGUACCCGAGGAAGAAGUCUCGGCUAACUACGUGCCAGCAGCCGCGGUAAUACGUAGGAGACGAGCGUUGUCCGGAGUUACUGGGCGUAAAGGGUGCGCAGGCGGCCAGGCGCGUCGCUAGUGAAAUCUCCCGGCUCAACUGGGAGGGUGGUAGCGAGACGGCUUGGCUUGAGGCUCGGUGAGGGGCGUGGAAUUCCGGGUGGAGCGGUGAAAUGCGUAGAGAUCCGGAGGAACACCAACGGCGAAGGCAGCGCCCUAGACGAGACCUGACGCUCAGGCACGAAAGCUCGGGGAGCGAACAGGAUUAGAUACCCUGGUAGUCCGAGCUGUAAACGAUGUCCACCAGGUGUUGGGGGUAUCGACCCCUCCAGCGCCGCAGCCAACGUGAUGAGUGGACCGCCUGGGGAGUACGGCCGCAAGGUUAAAACUUAAAGGAAUUGACGG
This 872-nucleotide ribosomal RNA is filed under the name uncultured bacterium. RNAcentral describes it as "bacterial SSU rRNA". It matches the Rfam family "Bacterial small subunit ribosomal RNA", at positions 8 to 916 of the family's 1533-position model. The record is from RNAcentral.